This 448-nucleotide ribosomal RNA is filed under the name uncultured bacterium. Its description in RNAcentral is "partial 16S ribosomal RNA". It matches the Rfam family "Bacterial small subunit ribosomal RNA", at positions 29 to 523 of the family's 1533-position model. The record is from RNAcentral.
AACGAACGCUGGCGGCAUGCCUAACACGUGCAAGUCGAACGAGAUCUUCGGGUCUAGUGGCGCACGGGUGCGUAACGCGUGGGAAUCUGCCCUUUGGUUCGGAAUAACAGUUGGAAACGACUGCUAAUACCGGAUGAUGACGAAAGUCCAAAGAUUUAUCGCCAGAGGAUGAGCCCGCGUAGGAUCAGCUAGUUGGUGUGGUAAAGGCGCACCAAGGCGACGAUCCUUAGCUGGUCUGAGAGGAUGAUCAGCCACACUGGGACUGAGACACGGCCCAGACUCCUACGGGAGGGAGCAGUGGGGAAUAUUGGACAAUGGGCGAAAGCCUGAUCCAGCAAUGCCGCGUGAGUGAUGAAGGCCUUAGGGUUGUAAAGCUCUUUACCCGGGAUGAUAAUGACAGUACCGGGAGAAUAAGCUCCGGCUAACUCCGUGCCAGCCGCCGCCGUAA